GCCAGGUGUGGUGGCACACACCUGUAACCCCAGCAACUUGGGAGGAUGAGGCAGGAGGAUCACUAGUUCAAAGCCACUAGUUAGCAGUGGUGAGGUGCUAAGCAACUUGGUGAGACCAUGUCUCUA
RNAcentral lists this small RNA (126 nucleotides) under Marmota monax (woodchuck). The record is from RNAcentral. Lineage: Eukaryota; Metazoa; Chordata; Mammalia; Rodentia; Sciuridae.